RNAcentral lists this ribosomal RNA (497 nucleotides) under uncultured bacterium. RNAcentral describes it as "partial 16S ribosomal RNA". It matches the Rfam family "Bacterial small subunit ribosomal RNA", at positions 28 to 507 of the family's 1533-position model. The record is from RNAcentral.
GAUGAACGCUGGCGGCGUGCCUAAUACAUGCAAGUCGAGCGAACAGAUAAGGAGCUUGCUCCUUUGACGUUAGCGGCGGACGGGUGAGUAACACGUGGGUAACCUACCUAUAAGACUGGGAUAACUUCGGGAAACCGGAGCUAAUACCGGAUAACAUUUGGAACCGCAUGGUUCUAAAGUGAAAGAUGGUUUUGCUAUCACUUAUAGAUGGACCCGCGCCGUAUUAGCUAGUUGGUAAGGUAACGGCUUACCAAGGCAACGAUACGUAGCCGACCUGAGAGGGUGAUCGGCCACACUGGAACUGAGACACGGUCCAGACUCCUACGGGAGGAAGCAGUAGGGAAUCUUCCGCAAUGGGCGAAAGCCUGACGGAGCAACGCCGCGUGAGUGAUGAAGGGUUUCGGCUCGUAAAACUCUGUUAUUAGGGAAGAACAAACGUGUAAGUAACUGUGCACGUCUUGACGGUACCUAAUCAGAAAGCCACGGCUAACUACGUG